RNAcentral lists this ribosomal RNA (833 nucleotides) under Leafhopper (Typhlocybinae) aster yellows phytoplasma. RNAcentral describes it as "bacterial SSU rRNA". It matches the Rfam family "Bacterial small subunit ribosomal RNA", at positions 399 to 1241 of the family's 1533-position model. Lineage: Bacteria; Bacillati; Mycoplasmatota; Mollicutes; Acholeplasmatales; Acholeplasmataceae. The record is from RNAcentral.
GCGUGAACGAUGAAGUAUUUCGGUACGUAAAGUUCUUUUAUUAGGGAAGAAUAAAUGAUGGAAAAAUCAUUCUGACGGUACCUAAUGAAUAAGCCCCGGCUAACUAUGUGCCAGCAGCCGCGGUAAUACAUAGGGGGCAAGCGUUAUCCGGAAUUAUUGGGCGUAAAGGGUGCGUAGGCGGUUAAAUAAGUUUAUGGUCUAAGUGCAAUGCUCAACAUUGUGAUGCUAUAAAAACUGUUUAGCUAGAGUAAGAUAGAGGCAAGUGGAAUUCCAUGCGUAGUGGUAAAAUGCGUAAAUAUAUGGAGGAACACCAGUAGCGAAGGCGGCUUGCUGGGUCUUUACUGACGCUGAGGCACGAAAGCGUGGGGAGCAAACAGGAUUAGAUACCCUGGUAGUCCACGCCGUAAACGAUGAGUACUAAACGUUGGGUAAAACCAGUGUUGAAGUUAACACAUUAAGUACUCCGCCUGAGUAGUACGUACGCAAGUAUGAAACUUAAAGGAAUUGACGGGACUCCGCACAAGCGGUGGAUCAUGUUGUUUAAUUCGAAGGUACCCGAAAAACCUCACCAGGUCUUGACAUGCUUCUGCAAAGCUGUAGAAACACAGUGGAGGUUAUCAGUUGCACAGGUGGUGCAUGGUUGUCGUCAGCUCGUGUCGUGAGAUGUUGGGUUAAGUCCCGCAACGAGCGCAACCCUUAUUGUUAGUUACCAGCACGUAAUGGUGGGGACUUUAGCAAGACUGCCAGUGAUGAAUUGGAGGAAGGUGGGGACGACGUCAAAUCAUCAUGCCCCUUAUGACCUGGGCUACAAACGUGAUACAAUGGCUGUUACA